AAAGACAACGAGUUGAGCUGGGGUAGGGGGUGUUGACCUAGAGACUGACAUUUCAUUGCCAAAGUAAAGGAGGACCAAAGCAAAAAUGUAAGAAUGCAUAUUAUUCACAGAAUAGAUCUUAAAAGCAAUUUCAGUGUCUAAGCUCUACAGGCAGAAAUUUCCAAUGAGUAGAGAUGAAACGUUUACAAGUGCUAAAGCCAGAGAAAGAGUCAUGUAUGGAUGUGAGAGUUGGACUGUGAAGAAGGCUGAGUGACGAAGAAUUGAUGCUUUUGAACUGUGGUGCUGGAGAAGACUCUUGAGAGUCCCUUGGACUGCAAGGAGAUCCAACCAGUCCAUUCUGAAGGAGAUCAGCCCUGGGAUUUCUUUGGAAGGAAUGAUGCUAAAGCUGAAACUCCAGUACUUUGGCC
Long non-coding RNA from Bos taurus (domestic cattle), 407 nucleotides. The record is from Ensembl. NCBI's taxonomy places the organism in Eukaryota, Metazoa, Chordata, Mammalia, Artiodactyla, Bovidae.